Long non-coding RNA from Anguilla rostrata (American eel), 1189 nucleotides. RefSeq lists it as uncharacterized. NCBI's taxonomy places the organism in Eukaryota, Metazoa, Chordata, Actinopteri, Anguilliformes, Anguillidae. The record is from RefSeq and is a predicted model, not a curated record. The transcript has 3 exons.
UUCAGAACGGCUUUGAGACACACGGGCGAGUUCUCUCAAUGCAUCACACACUACAGCGUCUCAAUCAGGAAAUAAUGAGAAAGAAACGCGAUCAACUCAAAGCCGCCUUCAACCUCCGCAGCAGUGACGGGCGGCGUGGAAGUCCUCAAUCACCAAGCUGUCACCGCGCAGCUUUGAAAGGCCCUGGAUCUGCGCCGGGAAUGGCUUCGGAGCGUACCCAUAAAUCGACAGCCGGUCCUUCAACGGGAGUCCCCGAGCUCCCAGCCAUCAUUCGUCAAAGCGUCUGUGCUCCGGAUGGAAGCAAAUAAAGCAUUGCGUUUUUGAAGUUAAAGCUCUUGGUGUCCUUUUCGCAGACUACAGGGGAGGACUCAAAGUCAUACCACUUCAUUCUGUGAACAAAUGUAUUCUUUGCGGCUGGUCCUGGACGUACAAUAAAUAGCCGCCGUGGCAAUCUCGCGUUCCCUUCAGGGGAUAUGAAGAAUAUUGCGCGCGCGAGUCCCCCAGGGCCAAACAGGAAAUGUGUACACCAACUGCGCUGACAGCAAGCGCCUAUGUGUAUACUCUGUGCACGUGCGUGUGCGUGUGUUGUCUGACAUUUAAAUAGAAUUAUAAAAUUAAUAGAAUUUGAAUGUAAAUCACGUGUAGAAUAACAGAGUAUGAACACAGAAGCCCCGCAGGCCUGCCUGUGCACAAAGGUCGUAUGGUGCAGGUUUGUGGCCAUGUUAUGCGAGGAUUUCUUAAUUUCUUAAUUCUGAUUAAUAUUUAAGGAAUAAGCACAUUCAUUCAUUAUUAUCUUUAGUGUGGUAAAAUUGAUAAUUUAUUCAAAUCAAGAAUUUAAAAUACUGAAGUAGAUUUUCUAAGCUUUAAAUGAAGUAUGUCUCUUGAAAAGUUUAGAACUGUACUGCUCUCUGCUGGCCGAAAUGUGAACAGUACUGAUCAGCUGAAUUUAUGUUCUAGUAGCUUUUACAAUCCAAAUAAACUGUGUUCAAAAAUGACUGAUGUUGUUGUGAUUGUGCAUCUGAUUAGGGGUAAUUUUACAAUAUAUCCACACUACAGUAUUCUUUGCAAAUAUGUUGUUUAUCAAUGAGAGAUGUCUGGAUGCAACCAUGGUCGUAGGGACACAGUGUGUGUGCUGGUUUUGUUCCAGUUGACCUCUUAGUUAAUUAGAUUUAAGUGCACUGGUGACUGA